Molecule: non-coding RNA, 148 nt
Filed under: Nomascus leucogenys (northern white-cheeked gibbon)
Lineage: Eukaryota; Metazoa; Chordata; Mammalia; Primates; Hylobatidae
Source: Rfam by way of RNAcentral
GCUGGGUGCAGUGGUGCACGCCUGUAAUCCCAGCUACUUGGGAGGCUGAGGCAGGAGAAUCACUUGAACCCGGGAGGCAGAGGUUGCAGUGAGGCGAGAUUGCGCCACUGAACUCCAGCCUGGGCAACAGAGUGAGACUCUGUCUCAA